UACGUAGGGUGCAAGCGUUGUCCGGAUUUAUUGGGCGUAAAGAGCUCGUAGGUGGUUCGGUAAGUCAGGUGUGAAACCUCCAGGCUCAACCUGGAGACGCCACUUGAUACUGCUGUGACUGGAGUCCGGUAGGGGAGCGUGGAAUUCCUGGUGUAGCGGUGAAAUGCGCAGAUAUCAGGAGGAACACCAGCGGCGAAGGCGGCGCUCUGGGCCGGUACUGACACUGAGGAGCGAAAGCGUGGGUAGCAAACAGG
This 254-nucleotide ribosomal RNA is filed under the name uncultured bacterium. RNAcentral describes it as "partial 16S ribosomal RNA". It matches the Rfam family "Bacterial small subunit ribosomal RNA", at positions 524 to 776 of the family's 1533-position model. The record is from RNAcentral.